This 442-nucleotide ribosomal RNA is filed under the name uncultured bacterium. RNAcentral describes it as "bacterial SSU rRNA". It matches the Rfam family "Bacterial small subunit ribosomal RNA", at positions 338 to 795 of the family's 1533-position model. The record is from RNAcentral.
CCUACGGGGGGCAGCAAUUAGGAAUCUUGCGCAAUGGGGGGAACCCUGACGCAGCGACGUCGCGUGAAGGAUGAAGGCCUUCGGGUCGUAAACUUCUUUUGAGUGGGAAGAAGUUUGACGGUACCACUCGAAUAAGCCCCGGCUAACUACGUGCCAGCAGCCGCGGUAAUACGUAGGGGGCGAGCGUUGUCCGAAGUUACUGGGCGUAAAGCGCGCGUAGGCGGUUAUUCAAGUCUGGGGUGAAAGGUUCAGCGCUCAACGUGAACAGUGCCUUGGAUACUGGAUGACUUGAGUCUGGAAGGGGGAAGGGGAAUUCCUGGUGUAGCGGUGAAAUGCGUAGAUAUCAGGAGGAACACCGGUGGCGAAGGCGCCUUCCUGGUCUAAGACUGACGCUGAGGUGCGAAAGCGUGGGGAGCAAACGGGAUUAGAUACCCUUGUAGUC